UACGGAGGGUGCAAGCGUUAUCCGGAAUUACUGGGUUUAAAGGGUGCGUAGGCGGCCUUAUAAGUCAGGCGUGAAAUUUAUAUGCUUAACAUAGGAAUUGCGUUUGAUACUGUGAGGCUGGAAUCAGGAUGAGGUAAGCGGAAUGUGGCAAGUAGCGGUGAAAUGCAUAGAUAUGCCAUAGAACACCAAUUGCGAAGGCAGCUUACUAGACCUAGAUUGACGCUGAGGCACGAAAGCGUGGGGAGCGAACAGG
RNAcentral lists this unclassified non-coding RNA (253 nucleotides) under uncultured Chitinophagales bacterium. Its description in RNAcentral is "contains 16S-23S intergenic spacer region". It matches the Rfam family "Bacterial small subunit ribosomal RNA", at positions 524 to 776 of the family's 1533-position model. Lineage: Bacteria; Pseudomonadati; Bacteroidota; Chitinophagia; Chitinophagales. The record is from RNAcentral.